CUGUAAUGCAUUUAGUUAAGGGGAGUAGAGAUAUGGGUAGAGGUGCAGGGAGCCUUCGGGUUCUCAACUUAUUUCCAAACUUCGAACCUCCUUGUUAGGCAUUUACCUAACUGGAAAUGCUUAAAUGAAUUAGCGUUACAAGUGGGCUCUGACCGGUAAGCGGUCAUGGCGAAAUGGGAUGAACCAUACGUCUGAAUAAGGUGCCGAAAUGUACUAUCACUGAUACCAUAAAGGGAGUCCAUGUAUUUAGACAGCAGGUCGGUGCCCCUAAAAGCAGGUAUCCGCUAAAGAGUGUGUUAAAACUCACCUGCCGAAUACUAGGGCCCCGAAAAUGAAUGGCGCAUAUAGUACUACCGAUCUCAGACAUCAGUUCUAUUGAACUGAGAGUAGGGGGAUGUGGACAUUUUUGUGAAGGUGCAAUGUGAGUUGGACUGGAAGAAUGUCUAUUACAGAUCCUAAUUGAAGUAGCGAUUAUCCAGGCUUGUAUCCUGGGGGCUGAUGAGGAGUAGGGUUUCUGGACAACUUAAACAGAUCCAGAGUUAGUCGAUCCUAAUCUCAAUAAUGGGAGAAAGGGAGUACAGUUGAUAUUCUGUAACUGACAACAGUUCGCGGCAACGCAUACUAUUUUUCUCCGCCAAUCUUAUACCGUUGGUAGGGAUCUCUUUCCUACAUGACAGUACUAAUACCCAGGGAAACUGGUCAUCAGGCGAACUGCGGCGUUCUGCUGGCAAAACAUAGCUUCGGUUAUGUCAAUGGCUAUUGGAUUGGUCCAUGAAGCGAAAAAUAGUUUACUGUGUCACUCGUACCGAUAACCGCAUCAGGUCUUCUAGGUAAGUAGCCUAUGGCCAUUGAGGCAUGAUAGUUCAGGGAAUUCGGCCAAUUAGAGCUGUAACUUCGGGAUAAAGCUUGGCUCUGAUGAAAUCAGAACCGAUUGUUACGCGGAGAGCCCAACUGUUUAAUAAAAACGUAGUGUCGCGCUGUGGUAGUAUAGCCAGUGAACGCGACAUGAAUCCUGCUCAGUGCUGUGUCUGUUAAUAUGGUUCAAGCCAACGAAGCACCGGUAAAUAGCUGGGGU
This 1075-nucleotide non-coding RNA is filed under the name Trichomonas vaginalis G3. RNAcentral's name for it is "Eukaryotic large subunit ribosomal RNA". It matches the Rfam family "Eukaryotic large subunit ribosomal RNA", at positions 982 to 2260 of the family's 3401-position model. Lineage: Eukaryota; Parabasalia; Trichomonadida; Trichomonadidae. The record is from Rfam by way of RNAcentral.